RNAcentral lists this ribosomal RNA (854 nucleotides) under uncultured bacterium. RNAcentral's name for it is "bacterial SSU rRNA". It matches the Rfam family "Bacterial small subunit ribosomal RNA". The record is from RNAcentral.
ACUUAGUGGCGGACGGGUGAGUAACGCGUGAGUAACCUGCCUUACAGAGGGGGAUAACGUUCUGAAAAGAACGCUAAUACCGCAUGAAAUAUAGAAGCCGCAUGGCUUCAAUAUCAAAGGAGCAAUCCGCUGUAAGAUGGACUCGCGUCCGAUUAGAUAGUUGGUGGGGUAACGGCUCACCAAGUCGACGAUCGGUAGCCGGACUGAGAGGUUGAACGGCCACAUUGGGACUGAGACACGGCCCAGACUCCUACGGGAGGCAGCAGUGAGGGAUAUUGGGCAAUGGGGGAAACCCUGACCCAGCAACGCCGCGUGAGGGAAGACGGUUUUCGGAUUGUAAACCUCUGUCCUCUGUGAAGAUAAUGACGGUAGCAGAGGAGGAAGCUCCGGCUAACUACGUGCCAGCAGCCGCGGUAAUACGUAGGGAGCAAGCGUUGUCCGGAUUUACUGGGUGUAAAGGGUGCGUAGGCGGCUAAGCAAGUCAGGCGUGAAAUCUAUGGGCUUAACCCAUAAACUGCGUUUGAAACUGUUUAGCUUGAGUGAUGUAGAGGUAGGCGGAAUUCCCGGUGUAGCGGUGGAAUGCGUAGAGAUCGGGAGGAACACCAGUGGCGAAGGCGGCCUACUGGGCAUUAACUGACGCUGAAGCACGAAAGCAUGGGUAGCAAACAGGAUUAGAUACCCUGGUAGUCCAUGCCGUAAACGAUGAUUACUAGGUGUGGGGGGGUCUGACCCCCUCCGUGCCGGAGUUAACACAAUAAGUAAUCCACCUGGGGAGUACGGCAUCUUUCUAGAAGAUCUCCUACAUAUCUACUCAGAAAAAAAGGGGGUUUUAUAAUAUAUAUAAAAAAAGAGGA